Molecule: ribosomal RNA, 301 nt
Filed under: uncultured bacterium
Lineage: Bacteria
Description: partial 16S ribosomal RNA
Rfam family: Bacterial small subunit ribosomal RNA
Source: RNAcentral
CAGCAGCCGCGGUAAUACGGAGGAUCCAAGCGUUAUCCGGAAUCAUUGGGUUUAAAGGGUCCGUAGGCGGUCUUGUAAGUCAGUGGUGAAAGCCCAUCGCUCAACGGUGGAACGGCCAUUGAUACUGCAGGACUUGAAUUAUUGGGAAGUAACUAGAAUAUGUAGUGUAGCGGUGAAAUGCUUAGAGAUUACAUGGAAUACCAAUUGCGAAGGCAGGUUACUACCAAUUGAUUGACGCUGAUGGACGAAAGCGUGGGUAGCGAACAGGAUUAGAUACCCGCGUAGUCCCUGUCUCUUAUAU